CCUACGGGAGGCAGCAGUGGGGAAUAGUGCACAAUGGGGGAAACCCUGAUGCAGCAACGCCGCGUGAGUGAAGAAGUAACUCGGUAUGUAAAGCGCUAUCAGCAGGGAAGAAAAUGACGGUAACUGACUAAGAAGCCACGGCUAACUACGUGCAAGCAGCAGCGGUAAUACGUAGGGGGCAAGCGUUAGCCGGAUUUACUGGGUGUAAAGGGAGCGUAGACGGUGUGGCAAGUCUGAAGUGAAAGCCUGGGGCUCAACCCCGGGACUGCUUUGGAAACUGUCAUGCUGGAGUGCUGGAGAGGUAAGCGGAAUUCCUAGUGUAGCGGUGAAAUGCGUAGAUAUUAGGAGGAACACCAGUGGCGAAGGCGGCUUACUGGACAGUAACUGACGUUGAGGCUCGAAAGCGUGGGGAGCAAACAGGAUUAGAUACCCGGGUAGUC
This 440-nucleotide ribosomal RNA is filed under the name uncultured bacterium. RNAcentral's name for it is "partial 16S ribosomal RNA". It matches the Rfam family "Bacterial small subunit ribosomal RNA", at positions 338 to 795 of the family's 1533-position model. The record is from RNAcentral.